CAACUGUUCUGUCUCCAAUAGAAAGUUCCAUGUCCUAUCUGUUUCUUGAAAUUUACACCACAGUUUGUAGAGAUCCAUGCUAGCAUGUGUGGAGAAAGAGAAAAGGACAAUCUUAAGAUGACUGAGACACCUGCUGCGAGCCAGAACAAUGGAGAGGAGCAAAUCUAAAGUGUUGAUGAUGUAUUGGAUGCCAUGUGUGGAAGAGUUGACCUAGAGAAACAGUUCAACAUCCAAAUCUCCAGAACAAACAUUCUGGAGAGAGGCCUACUGCAGUGGCAGCGUCAAAAAAAAAUUCACCUACUGCUGCUCUGAAAGUGACAUUCUUUGGGGAGGCUGGAGUGGACACAGGUGCUCUCCGAAAAGAAUUUCUCACAGAAAUGAUUGCAGGAAUUGAGAGCCGUUUCUUUGAGGGGCCAAAGCACCAGAGGAGCCCACGAUACUCUCUGACUGACUUUGACAGCGGCCUGUACAAGUGGGUUUAUUUUUAUGCAAGUCGGGACAAACGGUUUCUUUCUGUGAAACAUUUUUUAAAACAUUAAUGCUUAAUUUGUGUAAAUAGGACUGUUGGAGAGAUUUUGGCAGUAAGUUUGGCACAAGGUGGCCCGGCCCCUGCCUUUUUCAGCCCAUGGACUUACAGUUACCUCUGUAGUGGCCAGAUAAACCCGGCGACUCUCAAUACCGAAGCAGUUGCAGAUGUCCAGUUGCGAGAGUUAAUUGAGCAGGUUGAAAUGUCAACUGAACAUUCAAUUGAAGGCCUUUCUGAUGAAAUCAUAAAUUGUGGAUAUACUGGAGCUAUCUCAGUGCAAAACAAAGAGUCCAUUGUUCGUGCUGAGGCUGCAGCCUAUGUUGGAACAACUGAGAGAAGGCCUGCAGCUGUAUGACCUUCUUUCGCUAAUAAGGCAGUACCCAGAUAUCUGCCAGCCCCUGUUUGUUCCCGGUGAAGAUGUAAAAGUUAAUGCAGAGUUUGUCAUGGCAUCCAUUCUUCCUCAACUGAGUGACAAAGGGACUUCCAGGCAUCAGAUUGAGCUGGAGAUGAUCAACUUUAUUCAGGACUUCCUUUAUGAAGCUGAAGCUAAAGACCAGGUAGAUGACCAAGAUGGCCUACAUUCCAUCACACCUGCCAGGUUGCUCCAGUGGAUCACAGGCCAAGGUCACAUCCCACUUCUUCCCUCAGAGAAGAAGGAUUUUGCUGUAACAAUCAAGUUUAACCAUGACUGUAGUGCAGACUUUGGCCAUCACAGUGUGUGUUACCCCGUUGUGUCAGCAUGUGCCAAGAAUAUUGUACUACCUGUAAAACAUAUGAGGCCUUAUGACCAAUUCAAAAAGGUUCUAACUGAGGCUUUUCAUCUGGGCCAACAGUUUAAUAUGGUGUAAAUAUUUACCAUCAACUGAUGGUACCUUUUUCUAGGUUGAACUACAACCUACAGUAAAUGAUAAAUGUUGCACCAGUUGCUACUGUUUUACUUAUGUUCUGAUCAAUGAAACACAUUUCUUAGUAAUACGGUGUUCCAAAAUCCAUAUUUGGAAAGAGGAAUUAGUCGAGAGUAAACAUUAAAUUAUUGUUUAAUAGCAGUACUGUUGAGCAUUUCAUGCAAACAUGUUAAGGUUAAGAAGGUAAUCUUGCAACAAGAUUUCAUAAAAGUAAUUAGUUUACAUCUCAUCUAGAUGUCUGGCUAAUUGGCAUCAUGUUGUCUCACUCACAAGUUGCAGCCCAGCACUCUGAGAAGCAGUUAAAGAAUGUUUGUACCAUGUAGCUUCACUGCUGUCAGUAACAAUAAACAUUUAAAACAA
Molecule: RNA transcript, 1791 nt
Organism: Micropterus salmoides (largemouth bass)
Lineage: Eukaryota; Metazoa; Chordata; Actinopteri; Centrarchiformes; Centrarchidae
Gene name: G2/M phase-specific E3 ubiquitin-protein ligase-like
Exons: 8
Source: RefSeq, a predicted model, not a curated record